CGUAGGUGGCAAGCGUUGUCCGGAUUUAUUGGGUUUAAAGGGUGCGUAGGCGGUCUUGUAAGUCGGUGGUGAAAUACGGCAGCUUAACUGUCGAGGUGCCAUUGAUACUGCAGGACUUGAGUACAGACGAGGUAGGCGGAAUUGACGGUGUAGCGGUGAAAUGCUUAGAUAUCGUCAAGAACACCGAUAGCGAAGGCAGCUUACUAGACUGUAACUGACGCUGAUGCACGAAAGUGUGGGGAUCAAACAGGAUUAGAUACCCUGGUAGUCCACACUGUAAACGAUGAUUACUCGAUGUUGGCGAUACACAGCCAGCGUCUUAGCGAAAGCGAUAAGUAAUCCACCUGGGGAGUACGCCGGCAACGGUG
RNAcentral lists this ribosomal RNA (368 nucleotides) under uncultured organism. Its description in RNAcentral is "bacterial SSU rRNA". It matches the Rfam family "Bacterial small subunit ribosomal RNA", at positions 526 to 896 of the family's 1533-position model. The record is from RNAcentral.